AGCGGAAGUGAGUGCGUGAGCGAGUGAAGGUGCGUGAGCGAAGGUGCGUGAGCGAGUGAAUCUGCUGCUGUUUCAGCAGAAGUGAAACUGAUCUGAUCCUGUUCUGUUUGAGUGCGGAUCUGUUCCGUGUCUGUGUUUGUAGUUUUGUUGAUUGAUGAACGCAGUGACUUUUUGUGCACCCCUGAGUCCAGCUCACUCAGCCACCUUGUGUUAUUUGGCCUACACUGAUCUUGCACUGUUCUGUUCUGGAAACUGCUUUUCAUGAUGCCACUCCUGCUGCCUGAGUGAAUCAAUAAACCAUUUUUAACCAGAAUUACAGACCAGUGUCAGGAGGCAGGAGAUCAGCAGUCAAUUAUGGCAGGACAAAACAUUUUUAUAAUAAAUAAAAAUACUUGAAAUAAAAUAUUGAAAAAUGUG
Molecule: long non-coding RNA, 417 nt
Organism: Trichomycterus rosablanca
Lineage: Eukaryota; Metazoa; Chordata; Actinopteri; Siluriformes; Trichomycteridae
Exons: 5
Source: RefSeq, a predicted model, not a curated record